GAUGAACGCUGGCGGCGUGCCUAAUACAUGCAAGUCGAGCGAACGGACGAGAAGCUUGCUUCUCUGAUGUUAGCGGCGGACGGGUGAGUAACACGUGGAUAACCUACCUAUAAGACUGGGAUAACUUCGGGAAACCGGAGCUAAUACCGGAUAAUAUAUUGAACCGCAUGGUUCAAAAGUGAAAGACGGUUUUGCUGUCACUUAUAGAUGGAUCCGCGCCGCAUUAGCUAGUUGGUAAGGUAACGGCUUACCAAGGCAACGAUGCAUAGCCGACCUGAGAGGGUGAUCGGCCACACUGGAACUGAGACACGGUCCAGACUCCUACGGGAGGCAGCAGUAGGGAAUCUUCCGCAAUGGGCGAAAGCCUGACGGAGCAACGCCGCGUGAGUGAUGAAGGUCUUCGGAUCGUAAAACUCUGUUAUUAGGGAAGAACAUAUGUGUAAGUAACUAUGCACGUCUUGACGGUACCUAAUCAGAAAGCCACGGCUAACUACGUG
Molecule: ribosomal RNA, 497 nt
Filed under: uncultured bacterium
Lineage: Bacteria
Description: partial 16S ribosomal RNA
Rfam family: Bacterial small subunit ribosomal RNA
Source: RNAcentral